This 316-nucleotide ribosomal RNA is filed under the name halophilic archaeon. RNAcentral describes it as "bacterial SSU rRNA". It matches the Rfam family "Archaeal small subunit ribosomal RNA", at positions 212 to 528 of the family's 1478-position model. Lineage: Archaea; Methanobacteriati; Methanobacteriota; Halobacteria; Halobacteriales. The record is from RNAcentral.
UGGCUGCGGCCGAUUAGGUAGAUGGUGGGGUAACGGCCCACCAUGCCGAUAAUCGGUACAGGUUGUGAGAGCAAGAGCCUGGAGACGGUAUCUGAGACAAGAUACCGGGCCCUACGGGGCGCAGCAGGCGCGAAACCUUUACACUGCACGACAGUGCGAUAGGGGGACUCCGAGUGUGAGGGCAUAUAGCCCUCGCUUUUCUGAACCGUAAGGUGGUUCAGGAACAAGGACUGGGCAAGACCGGUGCCAGCCGCCGCGGUAAUACCGGCAGUCCAAGUGAUGGCCGAUAUUAUUGGGCCUAAAGGUUCGUAUCCGA